Molecule: long non-coding RNA, 167 nt
Organism: Amphimedon queenslandica
Lineage: Eukaryota; Metazoa; Porifera; Demospongiae; Haplosclerida; Niphatidae
Exons: 3
Source: RefSeq, a predicted model, not a curated record
AGAUUUAGUUGAUGGUGGUAAAGUGGAUGCUGAUAAAACAAAAAAAUUAUUAGUGUAGAUGCCGAUGCUGAAGUUACAGAUACUAAGUCUGGAUCUCCUAUAAUGAUAACAUAAGAGAGAAAGGAUAAAGAAGAAAGCCCAAUGAAAUCUGGAGUACAUCUUUCUUU